GACGAACGCUGGCGGCGUGCCUAAUACAUGCAAGUUGAGCGCUGAAGGUUGGUACUUGUACCAACUGGAUGAGCAGCGAACGGGUGAGUAACGCGUGGGGAAUCUGCCUUUGAGCGGGGGACAACAUUUGGAAACGAAUGCUAAUACCGCAUAAAAACUUUAAACACAAGUUUUAAGUUUGAAAGAUGCAAUUGCAUCACUCAAAGAUGAUCCCGCGUUGUAUUAGCUAGUUGGUGAGGUAAAGGCUCACCAAGGCGAUGAUACAUAGCCGACCUGAGAGGGUGAUCGGCCACAGUGGGACUGAGACACGGCCCAAAAUCCUACGGAAGGCAGCAGUAGGGAAUCUUCGGCAAUGGACGAAAGUCUGACCGAGCAACGCCGCGUGAGUGAAGAGGGUUUUCGGAUCGUAAAACUCUGUUGGUAGAGAAGAACGUUGGUGAGAGUGGAAAGCUCAUCAAGUGACGGUAACUACCCAGAAAGGGACGGCUAACUACGUG
This 497-nucleotide ribosomal RNA is filed under the name uncultured bacterium. RNAcentral's name for it is "partial 16S ribosomal RNA". It matches the Rfam family "Bacterial small subunit ribosomal RNA", at positions 28 to 507 of the family's 1533-position model. The record is from RNAcentral.